RNAcentral lists this transfer RNA (85 nucleotides) under Oxalicibacterium solurbis. Its description in RNAcentral is "tRNA-Leu". It matches the Rfam family "tRNA". Rfam says of the family: Transfer RNA (tRNA) molecules are approximately 80 nucleotides in length. Their secondary structure includes four short double-helical elements and three loops (D, anti-codon, and T loops). Further hydrogen bonds mediate the characteristic L-shaped molecular structure. tRNAs have two regions of fundamental functional importance: the anti-codon, which is responsible for specific mRNA codon recognition, and the 3' end, to which the tRNAs corresponding amino acid is attached (by aminoacyl-tRNA synthetases). tRNAs cope with the degeneracy of the genetic code in two manners: having more than one tRNA (with a specific anti-codon) for a particular amino acid; and 'wobble' base-pairing, i.e. permitting non-standard base-pairing at the 3rd anti-codon position. RNAcentral also lists the same sequence under 2 other names. The record is from RNAcentral. Lineage: Bacteria; Pseudomonadati; Pseudomonadota; Betaproteobacteria; Burkholderiales; Oxalobacteraceae.
GCCGGGAUGGCGGAACUGGUAGACGCACGGGACUCAAAAUCCCGCGCCGCAAGGCGUGCCGGUUCGAUUCCGGCUCCCGGCACCA